This is a non-coding RNA of Miniopterus natalensis, 211 nucleotides long. The record is from RefSeq and is a predicted model, not a curated record. NCBI's taxonomy places the organism in Eukaryota, Metazoa, Chordata, Mammalia, Chiroptera, Miniopteridae.
AAGGCAACAGUGAUUGGAAGCUUUAAACUGUGGCCUGCAAAGAUAAAUCAAGAAUUUGGAGAAAAAGAGGUGUCCAUCCUGAUCGCACAUUAUGAACCGUUAUUGGCAGCUGCCAACGUGCAAAUCAAUGAAGUGCUCACUGAGUGGAGCAUGUUGAAAUUAGAGAUUUAUGCCAGAUUUCAGAACAUCCACAAAUUGACCUGGGAAUUUG